CUCUUUUCUUAACCUACUCUUCUAUUUAAUAUUUUAAGUGUUUCUUUGGCUUGUGCCACAGGUCAGACCAGAUGAUCUAAUGGUCUCCUCUGACCUUAGUCUAUAAAUAUUGGAAAGUGCGCUAAUGUAAACAUAACUGAUCCAUGGACCAGGGCUAUGAAAGUCAGACAACCUGGCACUGUCACUGCAUCCCACUCACUCCCCGUCUGGUUUGUUAUUUUUCCUGUUCCCCAGACCCAGCUACGAUGACGAGGAAGGUUCCCUCAUUCUCUCCCGGCUCCACAAUGAGCUCCACUCUGCCCAGCUACGUCGCUCUCUGCCUCGCUCUACAGGUUCACAGGCUGGCGUCAGGUUUGGGCUCUGCUCCUGUCAUCUCUGUGGAGGGACAUCAGGACGGAGGGAUCCGGGUGGUGUGUCGAUCAGCUGGAUGGUACCCAAAGCCUGAAGCUCAGUGGAGAGAUCUCGAGGGGCAGCUCUUACCAUCAACCUCUGAAAAAAUAUCCCCAGAGGCCAAUGGCCUGUUUUGAGCAGAGAUUGCCAUUGUUCUAACAGAAGAGUCCAACCAGAAAGUGUUCUGCUGUGUCAGGACCCCGCGACUCAACCAGGAGAGAGAGUCAGAGAUUUCCUUAGCAGGUCAGUGCCCGUUUGUGCUGCACAUGGAUAGACUGAGACGUUGCAGACAUGGGCAGAGAGUAUUUAUCAUUGUGUCUCCUGUUUAUUGGCCUGAACCUUCAAUGUGUCUUGUAAAAUCCUGAAUAACCUCAAUUCUCUUUGGCUAGGUCUACACUGCAAUUCAAACCCCGCUGGUGACCCAGGCCAGCUGGCUCAGGCUAAGGGCCUCAGGCUAAGGGCCUGUUAAAUUGUGGAAUAGAUCUCUGAGCUUGGGCUGGACCCUGCUACGUGCACUAAGAAUUCCAUGCUGUGCUUUGAUCUACCCCACUUUAAAAUGGGAACAGAUCAAAGCACCAGGGAACUUUUAGUGCACUGCAGUAGGGUGCACACAGCCAGUCAGUGAGCAGCUGGCCAGUGCACAGUGGAUUUACACUCCAGCCUGCCGCGCACUAACUGUGCCUAUAGACGAGCCACCGUAGAGCAAGGUGGGUGAGUUGUGGCUGCUGCCUUAGGGAGACGCCUCCCUCUCUGUUCUGAGGUUCUUGUGUGUUCAGGUCCUGGAUUAUAAGAGAUAAAGUCAUGAUACACUGCAGCCUUCCAGCAGGAGUGUUUAUGCUUGUAUCUCAUUUUGUGUGUGUGUGCGUGCUGUGAACAUCACAAUUCUCUGUGGGGGUGAGAAUUCUCCUUUGUUCUCAGUGAGAGUUGUGGGUGCUGAGUAUUUAUGAAAAUCUGGGUAAUAAAGUCACUUUUCCUGACUAGCA
Molecule: long non-coding RNA, 1373 nt
Filed under: Gopherus agassizii (Agassiz's desert tortoise)
Lineage: Eukaryota; Metazoa; Chordata; Testudines; Testudinidae
Description: lncRNA (ENSGAGG00000018070.1)
Source: RNAcentral